RNAcentral lists this ribosomal RNA (468 nucleotides) under uncultured bacterium. RNAcentral describes it as "partial 16S ribosomal RNA". It matches the Rfam family "Bacterial small subunit ribosomal RNA", at positions 28 to 507 of the family's 1533-position model. The record is from RNAcentral.
GACGAACGCUGGCGGCGUGCUUAACACAUGCAAGUCGAACGGAAAGGCCCUGCUUUUGUGGGGUGCUCGAGUGGCGAACGGGUGAGUAACACGUGAGUAACCUGCCCUUUACUUUGGGAUAACUUCAGGAAACUGGGGCUAAUACCGGAUAGGAGCUCCUGCUGCAUGGUUGGGGUUGGAAAGUUUCGGCGGUUGGGGAUGGACUCGCGGCUUAUCAGCUUGUUGGUGGGGUAGUGGCUUACCAAGGCUUUGACGGGUAGCCGGCCUGAGAGGGUGACCGGCCACAUUGGGACUGAGAUACGGCCCAGACUCCUACGGGAGGCAGCAGUGGGGAAUAUUGCACAAUGGGCGGAAGCCUGAUGCAGCAACGCCGCGUGCGGGAUGACGGCCUUCGGGUUGUAAACCGAUUUCGCCUGUGACGAAGCGUGAGUGACGGUAAUGGGUAAAGAAGCACCGGCUAACUACGUG